RNAcentral lists this ribosomal RNA (274 nucleotides) under uncultured bacterium. Its description in RNAcentral is "partial 16S ribosomal RNA". It matches the Rfam family "Bacterial small subunit ribosomal RNA", at positions 523 to 796 of the family's 1533-position model. The record is from RNAcentral.
AUACGGAGGGUGCAAGCGUUACUCGGAAUCACUGGGCGUAAAGCGCGCGCAGGCGGCCAUUUAAGUUGGAUGUGAAAGCCUACGGCUCAACCGUAGAACUGCAUCCAAAACUAUUUGGCUAGAGUGUGGGAGAGGAAGAUGGAAUUAGUUGUGUAGGGGUAAAAUCCGUAGAGAUAACCAGGAAUACCAAAAGCGAAGGCAAUCUUCUGGAACAUUACUGACGCUGAGGCGCGAAAGCGUGGGGAGCAAACAGGAUUAGAAACCCGUGUAGUCC